UUUAAAGAAAGCGUAAUAGCUCACUGGUCGAGUCGGCCUGCGCGGAAGAUGUAACGGGGCUAAACCAUGCACCGAAGCUGCGGCAGCGACGCUUAGGCGUUGUUGGGUAGGGGAGCGUUCUGUAAGCCGUUGAAGGUGGCCUGUGAGGGUUGCUGGAGGUAUCAGAAGUGCGAAUGCUGACAUAAGUAACGAUAAAGCGGGUGAAAAGCCCGCUCGCCGGAAGACCAAGGGUUCCUGUCCAACGUUAAUCGGGGCAGGGUGAGUCGACCCCUAAGGCGAGGCUGAAAAGCGUAGUCGAUGGGAAACAGGUUAAUAUUCCUGUACUUGGUGUUACUGCGAAGGGGGGACGGAGAAGGCUAGGCUAGCCGGGCGACGGUUGUCCCGGUUUAAGCGUGUAGGGGGUGUGACCUGGUAAAUCCGGUUGCAUAUCAACCCUGAGGCGUGAUGACGAUGCACUACGGUGCAGAAGUAGUUGAUGCCCUGCUUCCAGGAAAAGCCUCUAAGCUCUAGGUAACAUUGAAUCGUACCCCAAACCGACACAGGUGGUCAGGUAGAGAAUACCAAGGCGCUUGAGAGAACUCGGGUGAAGGAACUAGGCAAAAUGGUGCCG
Molecule: ribosomal RNA, 610 nt
Filed under: Serratia nevei
Lineage: Bacteria; Pseudomonadati; Pseudomonadota; Gammaproteobacteria; Enterobacterales; Yersiniaceae
Description: partial 23S ribosomal RNA
Rfam family: Bacterial large subunit ribosomal RNA
Source: RNAcentral